This 815-nucleotide ribosomal RNA is filed under the name uncultured bacterium. RNAcentral's name for it is "bacterial SSU rRNA". It matches the Rfam family "Bacterial small subunit ribosomal RNA", at positions 56 to 894 of the family's 1533-position model. The record is from RNAcentral.
UGCAAGUCGAACGGUAACAUAAGAAAAGCUUGCUUUUCUUGAUGACGAGUGGCGGACGGGUGAGUAAGAUUUGGGAAACUACCUGAUAGAGGGGGACAACAGUUGGAAACGACUGCUAAUACCGCAUACAGCCUUAGGGUGAAAGAAGCAAUUCGCUAUCAGAUGUGCCCAAACGGGAUUAGCUAGUAGGUGAGGUAAAGGCUCACCUAGGCGACGAUCUCUAGCUGGUCUGAGAGGAUGAUCAGCCACAUUGGGACUGAGACACGGCCCAGACUCCUACGGGAGGCAGCAGUAGGGAAUAUUGCACAAUGGAGGAAACUCUGAUGCAGCCAUGCCGCGUGUGUGAAGAAGGCCUUCGGGUUGUAAAGCACUUUCGGAGGGGAGGAAAAAAAAUGACGUUACCCUCAGAAGAAGCACCGGCUAACUCCGUGCCAGCAGCCGCGGUAAUACGGAGGGUGCAAACGUUAAUCGGAAUAACUGGGCGUAAAGGGCAUGCAGGCGGUUCAUCAAGUAGGAUGUGAAAUCCCCGGGCUCAACCUGGGAACAGCAUACUAAACUGGUGGACUAGAGUAUUGCAGGGGGAGACGGAAUUCCAGGUGUAGCGGUGGAAUGCGUAGAUAUCUGGAAGAACACCAAAGGCGAAGGCAGUCUCCUGGGCAAAUACUGACGCUCAUAUGCGAAAGCGUGGGUAGCAAACAGGAUUAGAUACCCUGGUAGUCCACGCCGUAAACGAUGUCAAUUAGGAGCUUGGGCAAUAGUCUGGGUUCCGCAGCUAACGCAAUAAAUUGACCGCCUGGGGAGUACGGCCGCAAGGU